Molecule: long non-coding RNA, 956 nt
Filed under: Capsella grandiflora
Lineage: Eukaryota; Viridiplantae; Streptophyta; Magnoliopsida; Brassicales; Brassicaceae
Description: long non-coding RNA (CGRA_LNC000745)
Source: RNAcentral
AAAGAAGGCCUUUGAGCGGCAGAAAUAAAACACUCUCUUCUCUCUCUUAAAACCCUAGCCGCCUUUUGUAGAUCUGAGGGAGAGGUGGAGUUUUUUCUCUGGUUUGGUUUCCUCCGGUGAGUUAUUCUCCUCUCCCUCCCCCUCCCUUCCAAGUUCUCUGUUCUUCAUCUUUCACAAGGUGAGUUUUAGGUCCGGUGGUGGGUGUUGGCCAUGUUUCUCCAGUUGUGUAGUGGAGUGGUAGAUCUGCCUUCGAUGUUUUCUGUGGUUGAGACCGGUGCUAAGAGCCGCCUUGCCGUUUCGCCGCUGUUGAAGACUCAGUGGUUAGGUUAAGGUGGUUUGGCUUACGGUAUCAGUUUCGAAGUUGCAGAGAGUGGCGGAAGUCGAAAGGCGGAUAGGAGGGUUUACACAUGUGUUGGAAAGAUUAGCGACUGGAUCUCUUUAGAUCUGUGUUGGCUGGCUCGGAAUUUGCUAGCGAUUAUGGUGCUGUUGAGCCAACAACCUAAGCGCUACCGAGUUGGUGUUCGAUCCGCCUGGAAUGAAGCAUGUGCUGGCUAGAAAAGCUAUUCGAACUGCUGGCGUAAGGAGUGAGGGGAUAGAGUCGAUGCCUCUUGUUGCUAGGUCGGGACAAGACGGUGGUGGGCUCUGGUUGUCUUUGAUUUGGUCCAGCUCGGAAAAGGUGUUGCAGGUAAGAUCCGACGGUGGUAAUAGGGUUUUGGUUUGGAUCCGUUAGCUCCGACUGAAUAACUGGAGCCGCCGAAGGGGAAGCAAAGUAGUGCUUUUUGCUAACGCCGGAAUUUCUGGACGGGAAUCGAUGCUUCCGGUGGUCAAACUAGGCUCCGAUCCACAUUUCUAGCUAGUAUUUUCGUUUGUUUUUCCUUGUAAACUACUGGGCCUUAGCCCAUCUUGUACUACCCAUUAAGGGGAUUAAUAACAGAACUUGCAUUAAAAAAAAAAAA